UACGAAGGGGGCUAGCGUUGCUCGGAAUCACUGGGCGUAAAGGGCGCGUAGGCGGCCAUUCAAGUCAGGGGUGAAAGCCCAAGGCUCAACCUUGGAAUUGCCUUUGAUACUGUUUGGCUUGAGUCUGGUAGAGGUUGGUGGAACUGCGAGUGUAGAGGUGAAAUUCGUAGAUAUUCGCAAGAACACCGGUGGCGAAGGCGGCCAACUGGACCAUUACUGACGCUGAGGCGCGAAAGCGUGGGGAGCAAACAGG
RNAcentral lists this ribosomal RNA (253 nucleotides) under uncultured bacterium. RNAcentral describes it as "partial 16S ribosomal RNA". It matches the Rfam family "Bacterial small subunit ribosomal RNA", at positions 524 to 776 of the family's 1533-position model. The record is from RNAcentral.